This 426-nucleotide ribosomal RNA is filed under the name uncultured bacterium. Its description in RNAcentral is "bacterial SSU rRNA". It matches the Rfam family "Bacterial small subunit ribosomal RNA", at positions 1 to 437 of the family's 1533-position model. The record is from RNAcentral.
CCCUUAGAGUUUGAUCCUGGCUCAGAACGAACGCUGGCGGCGUGGAUAAGACAUGCAAGUCGAACGAGAGAAUUGCUAGCUUGCUAAUAAUUCUCUAGUGGCGCACGGGUGAGUAACACGUGAGUAACCUGCCCCCAAGAGUGGGAUAGCCCCGGGAAACUGGGAUUAAUACCGCAUAAAAUCGCAAGAUUAAAGCAGCAAUGCGCUUGGGGAUGGGCUCGCGUCCUAUUAGUUAGUUGGUGAGGUAACGGCUCACCAAGGCGAUGACGGGUAGCCGGUCUGAGAGGAUGUCCGGCCACACUGGAACUGAGACACGGUCCAGACACCUACGGGUGGCAGCAGUCGAGAAUCAUUCACAAUGGGGGAAACCCUGAUGGUGCGACGCCGCGUGGGAGAAUGAAGGUCUUCGGAUUGUAAACCCCUGUC